RNAcentral lists this transfer RNA (71 nucleotides) under Rhynochetos jubatus (kagu). RNAcentral's name for it is "tRNA-Gln". It matches the Rfam family "tRNA". Rfam says of the family: Transfer RNA (tRNA) molecules are approximately 80 nucleotides in length. Their secondary structure includes four short double-helical elements and three loops (D, anti-codon, and T loops). The record is from RNAcentral. Lineage: Eukaryota; Metazoa; Chordata; Aves; Eurypygiformes; Rhynochetidae.
UAGGAAAUAAUAUAGGGGAAGUAUAGAGAGGUUUGAUCUCUUUCGCGUAGGUUCGAUUCCUACUUUUCUAA